RNAcentral lists this small RNA (256 nucleotides) under Sporolactobacillus laevolacticus DSM 442. Its description in RNAcentral is "BsrG". It matches the Rfam family "BsrG". From Rfam's summary of the family: bsrE, bsrG and bsrH pair through intermolecular interactions with antisense sRNAs. SR4 interaction with the 3'UTR of bsrG RNA promotes bsrG degradation and inhibits its translation. The record is from Rfam by way of RNAcentral. Lineage: Bacteria; Bacillati; Bacillota; Bacilli; Caryophanales; Sporolactobacillaceae.
GGAAUAGAUGACGCAUAUGAGCGGAUGCGGUGACGCCCUCUGAAAGGGGGUGACGCCAAUGACAGUAUUUCAAGCCAUGACACUUAUGAUAAGUUUUGGAGUGCCUAUCUUGAUGCUGUCAGAUAGAAAGAAAUAAUCCGCCUCAUAUGCUCUUGCAGGAGCUGAGACGGAUUACCGUGAAUAAGUAAUUCAGUUAUAAGCACUGCAUCCGCUCUACGCGGAUAUUGCCAUGCCGUCAGUGUUCGCAGCGCUGGCG